Molecule: ribosomal RNA, 1120 nt
Filed under: uncultured Klebsiella sp.
Lineage: Bacteria; Pseudomonadati; Pseudomonadota; Gammaproteobacteria; Enterobacterales; Enterobacteriaceae
Description: bacterial SSU rRNA
Rfam family: Bacterial small subunit ribosomal RNA
Source: RNAcentral
AGUCGAGCGGUAGCACAGAGAGCUUGCUCUCGGGUGACGAGCGGCGGACGGGUGAGUAAUGUCUGGGAAACUGCCUGAUGGAGGGGGAUAACUACUGGAAACGGUAGCUAAUACCGCAUAAUGUCGCAAGACCAAAGUGGGGGACCUUCGGGCCUCAUGCCAUCAGAUGUGCCCAGAUGGGAUUAGCUAGUAGGUGGGGUAACGGCUCACCUAGGCGACGAUCCCUAGCUGGUCUGAGAGGAUGACCAGCCACACUGGAACUGAGACACGGUCCAGACUCCUACGGGAGGCAGCAGUGGGGAAUAUUGCACAAUGGGCGCAAGCCUGAUGCAGCCAUGCCGCGUGUGUGAAGAAGGCCUUCGGGUUGUAAAGCACUUUCAGCGGGGAGGAAGGCGUUAAGGUUAAUAACCUUGGCGAUUGACGUUACCCGCAGAAGAAGCACCGGCUAACUCCGUGCCAGCAGCCGCGGUAAUACGGAGGGUGCAAGCGUUAAUCGGAAUUACUGGGCGUAAAGCGCACGCAGGCGGUCUGUCAAGUCGGAUGUGAAAUCCCCGGGCUCAACCUGGGAACUGCAUUCGAAACUGGCAGGCUAGAGUCUUGUAGAGGGGGGUAGAAUUCCAGGUGUAGCGGUGAAAUGCGUAGAGAUCUGGAGGAAUACCGGUGGCGAAGGCGGCCCCCUGGACAAAGACUGACGCUCAGGUGCGAAAGCGUGGGGAGCAAACAGGAUUAGAUACCCUGGUAGUCCACGCCGUAAACGAUGUCGAUUUGGAGGUUGUGCCCUUGAGGCGUGGCUUCCGGAGCUAACGCGUUAAAUCGACCGCCUGGGGAGUACGGCCGCAAGGUUAAAACUCAAAUGAAUUGACGGGGGCCCGCACAAGCGGUGGAGCAUGUGGUUUAAUUCGAUGCAACGCGAAGAACCUUACCUGGUCUUGACAUCCACAGAACUUUCCAGAGAUGGAUUGGUGCCUUCGGGAACUGUGAGACAGGUGCUGCAUGGCUGUCGUCAGCUCGUGUUGUGAAAUGUUGGGUUAAGUCCCGCAACGAGCGCAACCCUUAUCCUUUGUUGCCAGCGGUUCGGCCGGGAACUCAAAGGANACUGCCAGUGAUAAACUGGAGGAAG